Molecule: small nuclear RNA, 164 nt
Filed under: Meriones unguiculatus (Mongolian gerbil)
Lineage: Eukaryota; Metazoa; Chordata; Mammalia; Rodentia; Muridae
Description: U1 spliceosomal RNA (ENSMUGG00000012114.1)
Rfam family: U1 spliceosomal RNA
About the family: U1 is a small nuclear RNA (snRNA) component of the spliceosome (involved in pre-mRNA splicing). Its 5' end forms complementary base pairs with the 5' splice junction, thus defining the 5' donor site of an intron. There are significant differences in sequence and secondary structure between metazoan and yeast U1 snRNAs, the latter being much longer (568 nucleotides as compared to 164 nucleotides in human).
Source: RNAcentral
AGUCACACGAGGCAGAUGAAAGUCCACGACCAUGAAGGUGGUUUGUUCAGGGUAGGACUCAUCCCGAUGUGUUCCUCCUGUGUUGGUCCCUGUGAUUUCCUCAAAUGAAAGAAACUCAACCUCAUAGUUUGUGGUAGUGAAGGGCAGUGGUGCUUAUACUUUCU